UACAGCCAAACUACCCUCAAAACACGUGAUCUCAGAGUGAGGCAGGGUCAGGCCUGGUUAGUACCCGGCCAGGAGAAGAUGGUACGCUGAAC
RNAcentral lists this ribosomal RNA (92 nucleotides) under Piliocolobus tephrosceles (Ugandan red Colobus). The record is from RNAcentral. Lineage: Eukaryota; Metazoa; Chordata; Mammalia; Primates; Cercopithecidae.